This 494-nucleotide ribosomal RNA is filed under the name uncultured bacterium. RNAcentral describes it as "partial 16S ribosomal RNA". It matches the Rfam family "Bacterial small subunit ribosomal RNA", at positions 29 to 507 of the family's 1533-position model. The record is from RNAcentral.
ACGCACGCUGGCGGCGUGCCUCAUCCAUGCAAGUAGCACGCUGAAGGAGGAGCUUGCUUCUCUGGAUGAGUUGCGAACGGGUGAGUAACGCGUAGGUAACCUGCCUGGUAGCGGGGGAUAACUAUUGGAAACGAUAGCUAAUACCGCAUAAUAGUAGAUGUCGCAUGACAUUUGCUUAAAAGGUGCAAUUGCAUCACUACCAGAUGGACCUGCGUUGUAUUAGCUAGUUGGUGAGGUAACGGCUCACCAAGGCAACGAUACAUAGCCGACCUGAGAGGGUGAUCGGCCACACUGGGACUGAGACACGGCCCAGACUCCUACGGGAGGCAGCAGUAGGGAAUCUUCGGCAAUGGACGGAAGUCUGACCGAGCAACGCCGCGUGAGUGAAGAAGGUUUUCGGAUCGUAAAGCUCUGUUGUAAGAGAAGAACGAGUGUGAGAGUGGAAAGUUCACACUGUGACGGUAUCUUACCAGAAAGGGACGGCUAACUACGUG